Molecule: long non-coding RNA, 1126 nt
Organism: Carassius gibelio (silver crucian carp)
Lineage: Eukaryota; Metazoa; Chordata; Actinopteri; Cypriniformes; Cyprinidae
Exons: 8
Source: RefSeq, a predicted model, not a curated record
UCACAGAGAGGUCAGAGAUGUGAGAGAGGAGAGCAUGGACCCUCACAGAGAGGUCAGAGAUGUGAGAGAGGAGGGCACGGACCCUCACAGAGAGGUCAGAGAUGUGAGAGAGGAGAGUAUGGACCCUCACAGAGAGGUCAGAGAUGUGAGAGAGGAGAGCAUGGACCCUCACAGAGAGGUCAGAGAUGUGAGAGAGGAGGGCACGGACCCUCACAGAGAGGUCAGAGAUGUGAGAGAGGAGGGCAUGGACCCUCACAGAGAGGUCAGAGAUGACAGAGGAGGGCAUGGACCCUCACAGAGAGGUCAGAGACGUGAGAGAGGAGAACAUGGACCUUCACAGAGAGGUCAGAGAUGUGAGAGAGGAGGGCAUGGACCCUCACAGAGAGGUCAGAGAUGUGAGAGAGGAGGGCACGGACCCACACAGAGAGGUCAGAGAUGUGAGAGAGGAGGGCAUGGACCCUCACUGAGAGGCCAGAGAUGUGAGAGAGGAGGGCAUGGACCCACACAGAGAGGUCAGAGAUGUGAGAGAGGAGGGCAUGGACCCUCACAGAGAGGUCAGAGAUGACAGAGGAGGGCAUGGACCCUCACAGAGAGGUCAGAGAUGUGAGAGAGGAGGGCAUGGACCCACACAGAGAGGUCAGAGAUGUGAGAGAGGAGGGCACGGACCCACACAGAGAGGUCAGAGAUGUGAGAGAGGAGAGUAUGGACCCUCACAGAGAGGUCAGAGAUGUGAGAGAGGAGGACACGGACCCUAACAGAGAGGUCAGAGAUGGGCAAUUUAUUCCUUUUCUAAUGUGAUUGAGAGUGCAUGUAAACACUCGUUGGAAUUGAACCACGAAACUGAAAGGACUGCACUUGUGCAAUGACUAGCGUAAUGAUGCAUGAUCAUUUUGAAUAAAGUGUUUUAUAAGUGUCCUGUAAUUAUGAAACUUUUCUUUCAUUCGACAAUUAUGAAAUGGAGAGGGACAACCUCUCUCCAGUCCUUGUUUUGGAUAUUCAUCCACAGGUAAUCUGUUUUGGGCACAGCAAGGGGCUUUUCUGCUGCGUGAUACAUACGAGCAGGAUGGCACAGCGGUUUAUAUGUAUAUUAAUCCAUAAAUGGUUACUUAUUAAUUCUACCGUUUAA